CCCCUAGAUGUUCUGGGCCGCACGCGCGCUACACUGAACAGUUCAACAAGUCUUAACCUUGGCCGAUAGGUCUGGGUAAUCUUUGAACGCUGUUCGUGAUUGGGAUAGACCUUUGCAAUUAUGGGUCUUCAACGAGGAAUUCCUAGUAAACGCAAGUCAUCAGCUUGCAUUGAUUACGUCCCUGCCCUUUGUACACACCGCCCGUCGCACCUAUCGAUUGAAUGGUCCGGUGAAAUCUCGGGACGGCGGCUUGGUCGCUUGCGUCCGACUGCUGAAACUUGAUUAAACCAUAUCAUUUAGAGGAAGGUGAANUCGUANCA
Molecule: ribosomal RNA, 320 nt
Filed under: uncultured eukaryote
Lineage: Eukaryota
Description: partial 18S ribosomal RNA
Rfam family: Eukaryotic small subunit ribosomal RNA
Source: RNAcentral